This 432-nucleotide ribosomal RNA is filed under the name uncultured bacterium. RNAcentral describes it as "partial 16S ribosomal RNA". It matches the Rfam family "Bacterial small subunit ribosomal RNA", at positions 29 to 506 of the family's 1533-position model. The record is from RNAcentral.
AACGAACGCUGGCGGCAUGCCUAACACAUGCAAGUCGAACGAGACCUUCGGGUCUAGUGGCGCACGGGUGCGUAACGCGUGGGAAUCUGCCCUUGGGUUCGGAAUAACAGGUGGAAACGACUGCUAAUACCGGAUGAUGACGUAAGUCCAAAGAUUUAUCGCCCAGGGAUGAGCCCGCGUAGGAUUAGCUAGUUGGUGGGGUAAAGGCCUACCAAGGCGACGAUCCUUAGCUGGUCUGAGAGGAUGAUCAGCCACACUGGGACUGAGACACGGCCCAGACUCCUACGGGAGGCAGCAGUGGGGAAUAUUGGACAAUGGGCGAAAGCCUGAUCCAGCAAUGCCGCGUGAGUGAUGAAGGCCUUAGGGUUGUAAAACUCUUUUACCCGGGAUGAUAAUGACAGUACCGGGAGAAUAAGCCCCGGCUAACUCCGU